This 779-nucleotide ribosomal RNA is filed under the name uncultured bacterium. Its description in RNAcentral is "bacterial SSU rRNA". It matches the Rfam family "Bacterial small subunit ribosomal RNA", at positions 8 to 796 of the family's 1533-position model. The record is from RNAcentral.
AGAGUUUGAUCCUGGCUCAGAAUCAACGCUGGCGGCGUGCCUAACACAUGCAAGUCGAGCGAGAAAAGGGGGGCAACUCCCUGAGUAAAGCGGCGCACGGGUGAGUAACACGUGGGUAAUCUGCCCUGGAGUGGGGAAUAACACCCGGGAAACCGGUGCUAGUACCGCAUACGAUAGCNNAGUCUGCGGAUUUCGUUAUGAAAGGAGCAAUUCGCUCUAGGAGGAGCCCGCGGCUGAUUAGCUAGUUGGUGAGGUAAUGGCUCACCAAGGCUACGAUCAGUAUCCGGUCUGAGAGGACGGUCGGACACACUGGAACUGAGACACGGUCCAGACUCCUACGGGAGGCAGCAGUGGGGAAUUUUUCGCAAUGGGGGCAACCCUGACGAAGCAACGCCGCGUGGGUGAUGAAGUCUCUUGGGACGUAAAACCCUUUCGACGGGGAAGAAAACCGCAAGGUUUGACGGUACCCGUAGAAGAAGCCCCGGCUAACUCCGUGCCAGCAGCCGCGGUAAUACGGGGGGGGCAAGCGUUGUUCGGAAUUACUGGGCGUAAAGGGUGCGUAGGCGGUUCGUUAAGUUAGAUGUGAAAACUCUGGGCUCAACCCAGAGCCUGCAUCUAAAACUGGCGGGCUAGAGUUCUGGAGGGGGUAGCGGAAUUCCUGGUGUAGCGGAAAUGCGUAGAUAUCAGGAGGAACACCGGUGGCGAAGGCGGCUACCUGGACAGAAACUGACGCUGAGGCACGAAAGCUAGGGGAGAAAAGGAUUAGAUACCCGUAGUCC